UUUAAAAAAUCAGUAUGAUAAAAAUCAGAUGUGAUGUUUUUCUAUUUAUGUAAAUUGAGUUUCCAUUGACAUCCAUGACUGAGAGAGAUUAGAACAGAUAAUAGUCAAGGAGAAACUUGGCUUUGCUGGAACUGAGAUAUGCCAAGAGGAAGAUUAUCCAUCAAGUGCCUCAACUGAGUCUGCUCCAGAGGUUUCUUGCACAGACUGGUGGACAGAGCCAGCAGUUGCUACAAGCCCAAGAGUCAUCUAGAAGUAGGGGAAAAAGUGAUUUGGUUUAUCAACCAUUAUGAUCAGAACGUUUGUGUCACCAAGUUAUUCUACUUCUACACCAAAUCCCAAGUAUUACUUACUACCUGGAACAAUGCAUCUAGAAAGGAGGGGCCAAUGGAGAUUGAAAGAGGAAGAUGAAACCUAAGAGAAGUAAAAAUAGAGCCAGCUGUGGAGCCUUGGAGGUGGGAGUUUGGAGUGGGGAGCAGGGAACUGUGUUUGUAAGUUAGGAGAUUCAGGGGCUGGAUUGUGGUGUAGCAGGUAAAGCCACUGCCUGCAAGGCAGGCAUUCAAUAUGGGUGCCUGUUGGUGUCUCAGAUGCUCCAUUUCCCAUGCAGCUCCCUGAUAAUGGCCUGAGAAAAGCAGCAGAAGAUGGCCCAAGUCCUUUGGCCCCUGCCACACUCAUGGGAGACCCGGAAGAAGCUCCUGGCUACUAGCUUUGGCCUGGCUGAGACUUGACCAUUGCAGCCCUCUGGGGAGUGAACCAAUGGAUGGAAGACCUCUCUCUCUCUCUGCCUCUCUUUGUGUAGCUCUGAAUUUCAAAUAUUAUAAAUAAAUAUUUAAAAAAAAAACA
Molecule: long non-coding RNA, 840 nt
Filed under: Oryctolagus cuniculus (rabbit)
Lineage: Eukaryota; Metazoa; Chordata; Mammalia; Lagomorpha; Leporidae
Description: lncRNA (ENSOCUG00000032021.1)
Source: RNAcentral